CUUCAGGGAGCCGAGCAGCAGCGGCCGGUCCCCGUCCCGUUCCUGGCCGUAGGUGGCGAGCAGGGCCUGCGCCUC
Molecule: antisense RNA, 75 nt
Filed under: Streptomyces albus subsp. albus DSM 41398
Lineage: Bacteria; Bacillati; Actinomycetota; Actinomycetes; Kitasatosporales; Streptomycetaceae
Description: ASpks TB sRNA
Rfam family: ASpks TB sRNA
Source: Rfam by way of RNAcentral